Molecule: ribosomal RNA, 492 nt
Filed under: uncultured bacterium
Lineage: Bacteria
Description: partial 16S ribosomal RNA
Rfam family: Bacterial small subunit ribosomal RNA
Source: RNAcentral
GAUGAACGCUAGCUACAGGCUUAACACAUGCCAGUCGAGGGGAAACGACAUCGAAAGCUUGCUUUUGAUGGGCGUCGACCGGCGCACGGGUGAGUAACGCGUAUCCAACCUGCCCAUCACUUGGGAAUAACCUUGCGAAAGUAAGACUAAUACCCAAUGACAUCCCACGAAGACAUCUGAAUGGGAUUAAAGAUUUAUCGGUGAUGGAUGGGGAUGCGUCUGAUUAGCUUGUUGGCGGGGUAACGGCCCACCAAGGCAACGAUCAGUAGGGGUUCUGAGAGGAAGGUCCCCCACAUUGGAACCGAGACCCGGUCCAAACUGCUACGGGAGGCAGCAGUGGGGAAGAUUGGGCAAUGGGCGAGAGCCUGAACCAGCCAAGUAGGGUGCAGGAUGACGGCCCUAUGGGUUGUAAACUGCUUUUAUAAGGGAAUAAAGUGGGUCUCGUGAGACUUUUUGCAUGUACCUUAUGAAUAAGGACCGGCUAAUUCCGUG